This 307-nucleotide ribosomal RNA is filed under the name uncultured Bacillus sp. RNAcentral's name for it is "bacterial SSU rRNA". It matches the Rfam family "Bacterial small subunit ribosomal RNA", at positions 495 to 801 of the family's 1533-position model. The record is from RNAcentral. Lineage: Bacteria; Bacillati; Bacillota; Bacilli; Caryophanales; Bacillaceae.
GGCUAACUACGUGCCAGCAGCCGCGGUAAUACGUAGGGGGCAAGCGUUGUCCGGAAUUAUUGGGCGUAAAGGGCUCGCAGGCGGUUUCUUAAGUCUGAUGUGAAAGCCCCCGGCUCAACCGGGGAGGGUCAUUGGAAACUGGGGAACUUGAGUGCAGAAGAGGAGAGUGGAAUUCCACGUGUAGCGGGGAAAUGCGUAGAGAUGUGGAGGAACACCAGUGGCGAAGGCGACUCUCUGGUCUGUAACUGACGCUGAGGAGCGAAAGCGUGGGGAGCGAACAGGAUUAGAUACCCUGGUAGUCCACGCC